RNAcentral lists this long non-coding RNA (1572 nucleotides) under Rhipicephalus microplus (southern cattle tick). RNAcentral describes it as "uncharacterized LOC119167303". Lineage: Eukaryota; Metazoa; Arthropoda; Arachnida; Ixodida; Ixodidae. The record is from RNAcentral.
CACAUAUGAUGUGAGGGUCGCUACAGCAUUUUCCAUGGCGUAAAUUUUGCCUUGUUCGUUUCACUAUAGCAAAUGUACUUUCUGUUAAAUUGCUCUCAACUAUCGUGCUGCACUUCAGUUGUUUCUGGUCUGCGUGUAAGGAAGGGCUUCGAAGAUGCUAAGAACAUACGCUGGCGUUGGAAUUAUCCUGUUCGCGACGUGUAUGAUCGGUGCUUCUCAUGCCAAGCUGAAAGAUGGUUGCACAUUAGGAUAAACUGCGCGCUUGUGGUGACGAUUACCUUCCUUUCGGAAAGAGAUCGCAGAUCGCCACCUCGGGUGCGCCAUUCGUAAAGCAAUGUAGGACGUACAAGGAACAGAUAUCAUGCAGUAGGAACUUCGUCAAUGACUGUCUCAUUGAUGUAUUCAAGGAUGCCGCAAUACUGGCGCUGGACUCCUACAAGGCGAGCAUCGACGAGAUCUGCACCCCGGGUUCUAAGCUGUACAACGCAUACCACAAAUCUGUCGGCUGCUUGAAUUCUGCUGGCACGAAAAUCCAUGGCUGCGUCAACGAUUUCUUUGGACAUAAGCUGAAGGCCAUUUCGAAGGCGCCCAGGGAAGGCUUCUUCGCUUAUUUCUGCUGCUCGUAUGGUGGCUUAUUCGACUGCCUUGAACCAGCGCUAAAAUCUUGCGAAAAAGUUGGAGGGAGAGAUUUCACCGUCAGCUUGGUCGAAAAGGUGUUCGGCGAUGCUCUGACGCCGUUGUGUGGAAGCCACGAAGGCGGAUCAGAGUUGUGCAAGUCUCUUCCCAACCUGCCAGCACUGGACCCACUUGAUCAGAGCUUCAAGCAUUACGUCGAGCUCAUAAUUGAAGCAGUCGACACGCUUAUUUCACAGAACUAGCAAUGUAUACUGUGGCCCCAUCAGGUUUAACGUUUUCCGAACGAGAUAACUCGGAGUCAUUAUACUACGUUAAGGUAGGUGAGCAGUAGAGUGCUAUGGCGCUCUCCCAUCCCUGCUCUCGCGACCAUUCUUCGAAAAAAAAACGGGUUGUUUCUCGAGUGUCCUGCGAGUGCGUGCCUACCCUUAUACUUGCCAUCGAUGACCACGCCAACGCAGCGCCUCGCCUUGAAGAACAUGUCAGACACCUACUGACUGGUUUUCACCGUUAUAUCGCAUUAGUCCAUCUACUAGCCCCAAGGCCAUCUCGAAUUUUAUCAGUUAUUUGCUUCGAGUAUACAUCUGAACCAUUCAAUCAACCAAUCAAUCAAUAAAUCAAUCAAGUAAAAAAAAGUUUUUGCUGCUCUUUAGAGAGUGGUCGAAUAACCAAUAUAUCUCAGUUUUCCCACUGUUCGGUAAAGAACACUAGUGAUUUUUCCAUGCGGACAGCAGCACACACACACACACACGCACGCACUACACACAAACACAAGUACACAGAAAUCGAAGAUGUGGGUCAUAUACAACUCUACGGUAAUAGCGUGAUGGACCUUGUUCGUUUGGUGUGCCAGCAUGUGCUGUAUUACGUUCACUACGGUUGCAUUUUGUCUUUAUGAGUGUGCCAUUUUAAAUAAAUGAAUUUUUACUUUCCCUGUAA